UACGAAGGGGGCUAGCGUCGUCCGGAAUCAUUGGGCGUAAAGGGCGCGUAGGUGGCCCAGCAAGCGUGCGGUGAAAGCUCGGGGCUCAACCCCGAGUCGGCCGUGCGAACUGCGGGGCUCGAGCACUGUAGAGGCAGGCGGAAUUCCGGGAGUAGCGGUGGAAUGCGUAGAGAUCCGUAAGAACACCGGUGGCGAAGGCGGCCUGCUGGGCAGUUGCUGACACUGAGGCGCGACAGCGUGGGGAGCAAACAGG
RNAcentral lists this ribosomal RNA (253 nucleotides) under uncultured bacterium. Its description in RNAcentral is "partial 16S ribosomal RNA". It matches the Rfam family "Bacterial small subunit ribosomal RNA", at positions 524 to 776 of the family's 1533-position model. The record is from RNAcentral.